AUUGAACGCUGGCGGCAUGCCUUACACAUGCAAGUCGAACGGCAGCACGGGAGCAAUCCUGGUGGCGAGUGGCGAACGGGUGAGUAAUACAUCGGAACGUGCCCAAUCGUGGGGGAUAACGCAGCGAAAGCUGUGCUAAUACCGCAUACGAUCUACGGAUGAAAGCAGGGGAUCGCAAGACCUUGCGCGAAUGGAGCGGCCGAUGGCAGAUUAGGUAGUUGGUGAGGUAAAGGCUCACCAAGCCGUCGAUCUGUAGCUGGUCUGAGAGGACGACCAGCCACACUGGGACUGAGACACGGCCCAGACUCCUACGGGAGGCAGCAGUGGGGAAUUUUGGACAAUGGGCGAAAGCCUGAUCCAGCCAUGCCGCGUGCAGGAUGAAGGCCUUCGGGUUGCAAACUGCUUUUGUACGGAACGAAACGGCCUUUUCUAAUAAAGAGGGCUAAUGACGGUACCGUAAGAAUAAGCACCGGCUAACUACGUGCCAGCAGCCGCGGUAAUACGUAGGGUGCAAGCGUUAAUCGGAAUUACUGGGCGUAAAGCGUGCGCAGGCGGUUAUGUAAGACAGUUGUGAAAUCCCCCGGGCUCAACCUGGGAACUGCAUCUGUGACUGCAUAGCUAGAGUACGGUAGAGGGGGAUGGAAUUUCGCGUGUAGCAGUGAAAUGCGUAGAUAUGCGGAGGACACCGAUGGCGCAGGGAUCCCCUGGACUGUCUGACCUUUUGCCGAAAGC
RNAcentral lists this ribosomal RNA (732 nucleotides) under uncultured Comamonadaceae bacterium. RNAcentral's name for it is "bacterial SSU rRNA". It matches the Rfam family "Bacterial small subunit ribosomal RNA", at positions 28 to 760 of the family's 1533-position model. The record is from RNAcentral. Lineage: Bacteria; Pseudomonadati; Pseudomonadota; Betaproteobacteria; Burkholderiales; Comamonadaceae.